GAUGAACGCUGGCGGCGUGCCUAAUACAUGCAAGUCGAGCGAACAGAUGAGGAGCUUGCUCCUCUGACGUUAGCGGCGGACGGGUGAGUAACACGUGGAUAACCUACCUAUAAGACUGGGAUAACUUCGGGAAACCGGAGCUAAUACCGGAUAAUAUAUUGAACCGCAUGGUUCAAUAGUGAAAGACGGUUUUGCUGUCCCUUAUAGAUGGAUCCGCGCCGGAUUAGCUAGUUGGUAAGGUAACGGCUUACCAAGGCAACGAUGCGUAGCCGACCUGAGAGGGUGAUCGGCCACACUGGAACUGAGACACGGUCCAGACUCCUACGGGAGGCAGCAGUGGGGAAUCUUCCGCAAUGGGCGAAAGCCUGACGGAGCAACGCCGCGUGAGUGAUGAAGGUCUUCGGAUCGUAAAACUCUGUUAUUAGGGAAGAACAAAUGUGUAAGUAACUAUGCACGUCUUGACGGUACCUAAUCAGAAAGCCACGGCUAACUACGUG
Molecule: ribosomal RNA, 497 nt
Filed under: uncultured bacterium
Lineage: Bacteria
Description: partial 16S ribosomal RNA
Rfam family: Bacterial small subunit ribosomal RNA
Source: RNAcentral